CUACGGGGGGCAGCAGUGGGGAAUAUUGGACAAUGGGGGAAACCCUGAUCCAGCAAUGCCGCGUGUGUGAAGAAGGCCUGCGGGUUGUAAAGCACUUUCGGUUGGGAGGACUGCUUCUAGCACUAAUAUUGUUGGAAGUUGACGUUACCUUCAGAAGAAGCACCGGCUAACUCCGUGCCAGCAGCCGCGGUAAUACGGAGGGUGCAAGCGUUAAUCGGAAUUACUGGGCGUAAAGCGCGCGUAGGCGGCUAGAUCAGUCGGGUGUGAAAGCCCCGGGCUUAACCUGGGAACUGCAUCCGAUAGUGUCUAACUUGAGUACAGGAGAGGAGAGUGGAAUUCCACAUGUAGCGGUGAAAUGCGUAGAUAUGUGGAGGAACACCAAUGGCGAAGGCAGCUCUCUGGCCUGAUACUGACGCCGAGGUGCGAAAGCGUGGGGAGCAAACAGGAUUAGAUACCCCUGUAGUC
RNAcentral lists this ribosomal RNA (465 nucleotides) under uncultured bacterium. RNAcentral's name for it is "partial 16S ribosomal RNA". It matches the Rfam family "Bacterial small subunit ribosomal RNA", at positions 339 to 795 of the family's 1533-position model. The record is from RNAcentral.